UGGGGCGGGGCCGCCCGGGGGUUUCUGCCGGCGGGGCGGUCGCUGCCCUCUGACCUUGCCUGGGAAUUCUCCCCUCGGUGCAAGGCUCUCUUCUCUUUGCCCUUGUCAAGGGCAGGGGGCGGGGCAAGCCCUCCCGCUAGACACGCAGUCGGGGAGAACAAGCUGUCGUAUCGGAAGCGCCCGGCGUACCUGUGGGCGAAGCCGUGGCUGCGCGGACUCCCGCUUGUGUUCCGGGCGCUUGUGUUCCGGCUGCGUGCACCCUGGCUGUGCUGCGCUUCGCUGGGGGCUCCGCAGGCUGGACUCGGCCGUCGGGUGCUCCUGCCGCCGCUCGCCGAGCGCCCGGCGCGCGCCCAGGACUGAUCUGGCGCGGGAAUGCAAGGAGCGGGGUCCCCUUCGCGACGCCUGUAGCUUUGCUUUAUCGCUCGUCUGCAAAAUCUCAGCUCCUCUGUGACAGAGCACGUUUGGGGUCACCGGAGCCUGGCCUUUUGCGCACAUCUGUUUUCCCAUUCCUUGACUUUUCCUGGGAUUGUCAUUCUCAGAGGGAGGACUGCCCCGCACCGCGCACAGCGCCGCUCUCGGGCGGAGCUGUCUCACCUGUGCGCCCACCUGCCCACCUGCCCACCUCCUGCCUCGCCCCGGUUUCUCUUCCACCGAGCUCACAAUGUACAGAGCACAGUGCUGUGGUCCUGGCUUUGUUUGGGAGACAUACAUAAAAUCUAAAUUCGUAAAGGAAACAGUCCAUUGAUUGGAAAACGAUCCGUAGACCGGAUUUCCAAAGUGAGAUCCUGACGACCAGUGCCAAGUACAAGCACAGCGUCUUUUGACUGUGAAACACCAGCCGGUCAAAAUAGUGACUCUGACUUCCAGUUUCUUCAUUCAGCCGCAUGAUAAAAAGGCAUCGCUGGAAAGACCCAAAAUGAUGAUUCCUGCUUUAGGAAAAAUCGUGAGGCUCCCAGAGUCUGAAACAACCAUUUUACCAGCUUAGGCUGUAUGCCCAGUGUGGGGCUUGAUUGAACUCACAACCUGGAGAUCAAGAGUCAUGCUCUACCAGCUGAGCCAACCAGGCACCCUAGUGUUUUUAUUUUUAAGACGGUGCUGCCGUGGAUUUCCCUAGAGCUCGGACACUGGGGUCAGACUGACUGCGGGGUCCCUGCUCAGAACCCUUCACCAACUCCCCUUUCUGCUUUGCCCUUGAACAUGGGUGUUCUAAAUGGCCCCAGCUCCAUCCUUUAUCUCAAAUUAAGAACCAGGACGUUUUGUCUUCUAUGAAAGGCCUAUCAGGCACCAGAAGAUGGAAAGAAAUUAUUUCCUGUGGGAGAACCCAUGAGAAUGUCUGGCUAAGAAUGAACUGCUUAGUCACUGCUCCUUCCUUUUGACCUUCCAGUCCUAUAUCUUCUGGCCUUUGCAUGUUUACUGAGAAACUAUACCCGGAACUAUCCAGAGGGAGGAAUGCAGGUAAAAAGCAAAAACGAUUUUGCAAUGUUAGAGGCGUAAGGGAAAGAUUUGGUGGAGAUUAAAGCAGAAUAAAUACCAUCUUUCUCAAUUAUAAAGUUGCGGGAUGUCAUUUGUCCAUGAUAAAAUUCCCCCCCCCCCCACAGAUAAUUUAAAGUUGACGGUUACAAACCCCCAUUAACAGGUUAAAUACACUCAGUACACAUGGAUUUCUGGUCUUAAUGCUUCACAGAGCUAAUGAAUCUGUUUCGCUUGAAAGGACUACAUCUAAUCCUCUUAGCAUCAAAAGGGAAAAGCUUGUUCAACUAACUCCCUCUGUUACCUGAAUGAGAGGUGAAUGUUCCCUUCAGAAAUUCUUUGCUGUUGAGGAGUUAUGCUUUCAGUUGCGCUGAGAAGUAAGGCUGGGCAGAGGUGAGAUGGACCUUGAGAGUGGGAAAGAGAGAGAGCAGUAUGCAGCGCUGAUGUAUCAGAUAAGGAACAAGAGAGGAGGCUAGCUGAGUCCUUGAGUGGGGUUCUUUUAUUUUAUUUUUUUUAAGUGGAGUAAGAAAUUUGGAUGUUUAAAUCAACAAAAUGCAGAAAAUAAACUAGCAUAUAAGAUGACCCUUAAUAAGCCAUAUGUGUUUAUUAUUGGAAAAGACAAGUUUAAAAAAAGGAACUAGCUUAAAAAGCAGGAUAGUUUCUUUUUUAAUUUUCUAUUAUUUCCCAAAUAUGGUAAAACUGUGGCCGAUACAGAUUUAACAGAAGUAAAACAGCUGAGUAAGACAAUAAAACAGCCAUAUUACAGUAAUGUGAAAUGUUAACACUGGGGGAAAGUGCAUGAGAAUUAUAUGAGAAUUCUGUUAUCUUUUUGACUUUUUGUAAACAUAAAAGUGUUCUAAAAUAAGUUUAUUAAAAAAAAAAAAAAAGCCUAACCUAUGAUGUUGAGUAAAACAAUGGAUGUAUGGAUAAUGAGCUGCUCAGUAUUAUCCUGGUGAUUACUAUAAUCAUGAAAAUUAUACCUUAAAAAAGCUUGUUAAUUAAAGAUUUGACAUUUUCCAAGUAAAAUCCAUGUUAAAAUAUUCAGCUCAGGUUGUUGAUUCUAAACUAACAAGGAGCCAAUCAAACACAAUCAGACUAAGAACAGUUUUCUAAUAUUUUGGGUACUUAGGACGCCAGAAAUGCUGUCUUUCUUGAGGCUAGAAUAAGCUAGAUGAGGCCAUUUGAACAAAACAAGGCUGUUAUCUGUCAGUUUCUCCUGCAUUUCUGGUUAAUUUGGAAGAAAAACAAAGAACUGUGGGGGAUCGGAUGUCCACGUGUUCCUUCUUUUUCCACUUUCUGGUAUUUAGAUAUUCCUGAACUUAGGGCAAUGGUAAGAUCCCAUUGAGAUACAGGACUCCUUCAAUAAAUAAUUCUGUAGCACUCAUUGAGGAUAUCACAUGCCUUCUCAUUAAAUAGACAGAACCACAGAACCUGCUUCCAUUAGGAUUCACACGGGGCCAGCUCAGUGUUUGACAUUCAGUCUCAGAGACCAGACAGUGGCGAAGAAUAGCCCGCAGGCCACAUCUGGCCUGUAGUCUUUUUUUUUUUUUUUUUUUAAACAGUCCACGAGUUAAGAAUGGUUUUUACAUUUUUUUUUACAUUUUUAAAUAAUGAAAGAAAAAAAGACCAAAAGACUAUUUCAUGACACAUGAAAUGACAUUCAAACUUCAGCAUCUAUAGAUGAAGUUUUAUUGGAAUCCACCCUAGCGGGAUGGGUGCUUUCCUCCUGCAAAGGCAGAGCUGAGUGGUUCUGACUGCGCGGCCUGCAAAGUCUCAACUGUUUACUCUCCGAGCCUUUCCAGAAAAAGUUCGUCAGUCGGUUGUAGACAACUCCCCCCAUGCACACUCCUCCUCCUGGGUUUUCAGAGCAGUGUUCUCAUUUUUUGGCUUUCCAACUAAGUGCCACUAUGGGAUUGAAGUGGCAAUGGGGCAGGCUCGGUCUAGUGAGGAGGGGACUGAGAGUGUGGCUAGCCAGGAGGGGCCUGGUGGACACGAACAGGCAGGAAGGUAAGAUGUCAAGUACCAGAAGAGCUAAUAUGUGGCCAAAGAGGCUAGGCAGGUCCUGGUGAUGUGCUAGAAAGAAGAUCCCAUGUUAGGAAGUCAACUCAGAAACAGGAGACAUGAGGUAUGAGUGGUCUAGGCAGAGUCUAGAAGGUCAAAGUUUGCAGAAGCUGCAUGAACAAGCAGGGUGACACCAAACCCAAGAUGUAAUCUUAGGGCAAAGGGGAUUAUCCCAUUUUACACGGCUUUCUGGGUUGGACAGCCUUAGGUCCCAAACUACUAAUGACAUUCAGAAGAAAGUCUGUGUUUAAAAACACAGACCUCGGGCGCCUGGGUGGCUCAGUUGGUUAAGCGACUGCCUUCGGCUUGGGUCAUGGUCCUGGAGUCCCGGAAUCGAGUCCCGCAUCGGGCUCCCUGCUCAGCAGGGAGUCUGCUUCUCCCUCUGACCCCCCCCCCCCCUCAUGUGGUCUCUCUCAUUCUUUCUCAAAUAAAUAAAUAAAAUCUUAAAAAAAAAAAAUAAGACCUCAGGGGCGCUGGGGUGGCUCAGCUGGUUGAGCAUCUGACUCUUGAUCUCAGCUCAGGUCUUGAUCUCAGGGUGGUGAGUUCAAGCCCCAUGUUGGGCUCCAUCCUGGGUGCAGAGCCUGCUUAACGCAGACCUGAGGGGAACUGCACAUUCAUACAGAUUGAGUCCUUUGAUGGAUGCUGAGUACGAGAUGCUGGAUAUUAGACUCUGCUACUAGACUUCCCUUAAUAUUUAGUUCCACACACUACUGAUUAUAAGAUGCUGGUACUUGUACAUCUCAGCAGGAUAACCUUGAGCCGGAAGCCGGUCCUUCCUUCACAACGAGGCCAUGUAUCUAGUUCCGUAUCAAAGUGAAAAGCCAUCUUCUUACCAAUCUCCCAAGCAAGAAAAUCUCCCUUGUACGUCACUGGAAGUUCCACGUGCCUUUUCCCAAUUCCCAUUUGACUAGACAGAAAGUACAUAGUAGGGAGAGGAAAAAUGACAGAAAGAGGAAGGUCAUUUAAGUUGUGCUGAUUCAAUCAUUCUUAAUAGCCAGUGAUAAUAAUAGAUCAUUUAAAACUAAUAAAUC
Molecule: long non-coding RNA, 4562 nt
Organism: Mirounga angustirostris (Northern elephant seal)
Lineage: Eukaryota; Metazoa; Chordata; Mammalia; Carnivora; Phocidae
Exons: 5
Source: RefSeq, a predicted model, not a curated record